Drosophila elegans is the source of this 8031-nucleotide RNA transcript. It is a transcript of the gene named plexin-A2, with no coding region annotated. The transcript has 10 exons. The record is from RefSeq and is a predicted model, not a curated record. Lineage: Eukaryota; Metazoa; Arthropoda; Insecta; Diptera; Drosophilidae.
GGGCGUGGUAUAUACGAUAAGAAAAUUGCAUGGACUGUGAUUCCUGCAAAAUAAACUUAUGCACAUAUUUAUGUGGGUUCACCAAGAUAUACUGGAAUACGCGAUUUCAAAGGAAACAUUUACCUACUACUCAUAUUCAAUGACGAUGCCGAUCAUAUCAAUAGAUAAAUAAAAACUCAGUAAAGAAAUAUACUGCAAUAAAUGAUAAAUAUUUGAAGGAUACUUAAAAGUAGUCGGAUAUUAAAGAUCCCAGGAAUGCCAUCAAUUCAAACUAGAUAUUGAGUUGUUAUAAAACAUUGGAUUCAUAUAAAAGGAACAUCAGGCAGCUGUGAAUAAACUGUUAACGCAUAAAGUGGUUCGGAUCGCCCUUUUGAAGGAGCGAUAGUGGAGAUGAUUUUAAUUCUUAGUUUGCUGCUUUUAGCAACUUUGGGAGAUAAUCAUGACUACUGGUUGCACUCAAGAACAGGCUCUCAGACAUUGGCAGCCAAUAUUUGGUCUGACAAGACGGCUGUUCAAAAUGAACCGAUUAACUUGACUGAUGCAAAUGUGACAAUAAAGGAUGCAAAAAACCUUAGUACCACCAUCACAAAUGUAGCUAGGUUUGAUACGAAAUUAAAUCACCUUUUAGUGGACACUAUUACCGGGCGAGUCUUUGUUGGUGGUGUCAACAGGUUGUAUCAAUUGUCGCCUGACUUGGAGCUUUCCGAAACGGUAAAAACGGGACCACAAAACGAUUCGGUAGAAUGCAGCAUACUCGACUGUCCCUUAAAUGCUGUUCGCAGUCCAACGGAUAACUAUAAUAAGGUCUUGCUUAUAGACCGUGCGACUUCUCGACUAAUUGCGUGUGGUUCACUAUUCCAGGGUACAUGCACUGUACGAAAUCUUCAGAAUGUCAGCAUAAUUGAGCAUGAAGUGCCCGACGCAGUCGUUGCGAACGAUGCCAAUUCUUCAACAGUGGCAUUUAUAGCUCCAGGACCUCCGCAGCACCCAGUGACAAAUGUUAUGUACGUUGGAGUUACCUAUACGAACAAUUCACCAUACCGAAGUGAAAUUCCGGCCGUUGCAUCACGCUCUCUUGAAAAGACGAAAAUGUUUCAGAUUGCAUCUUCGGCGGUUACAACUGGAACGAGAACUUUUAUUAAUUCUUACGCACGUGAAACUUAUUUUGUGAACUAUGUUUACGGAUUUAGCUCAGAACGGUUUUCAUACUUUCUUACUACACAGUUAAAGCAUAGUCACCAUUCUUCGCCCAAGGAGUACAUAACUAAGCUUGUGCGAAUAUGCCAAGAAGAUUCAAACUAUUAUUCCUACACUGAAAUUCCAGUCGAAUGCAUAAGUGAUGCCCAGGGCGGCACAAAAUUCAACUUGGUUCAGGCAGGUUACCUAGGCAAACCCAGCUCGGAUCUGGCUCAAAGCUUGGGUAUAUCAAUUCAGGAUGAUGUCCUCUUUGCUGUUUUUUCAAAGGGCGACGGAAACACACCAACCAAUAACUCUGCACUCUGCAUUUACUCUCUAAAAUCCAUACGUCGAAAAUUUAUGCAAAACAUAAAAUCCUGUUUCAACGGUAAUGGGAUGAGGGGACUGGACUUUAUAUCACCCAGCAUGCCAUGUGUUUUAACUAAACUGCAAACUAUUGGAGAAGAUUUCUGUGGUCUUGACGUAAAUUCGCCUUUGGGAGGAGAGAAUCCCAUUACUUCAGUGCCGGUGGCCAUGUUUAACACAAAGUUAACUUCAGUUGCUGCCACGAGCACAAGCGGAUAUACCGUUGUCUUUGUGGGCACCGCAGAUGGGUACCUUAAGAAAGUUGUCGUCGAAUCUUCAUCCGUUGCCAACGAGUACGCUAGUUUUUCUGUGGACCUGGGUUCGGCCAUAAAUCAGGAUAUGCAGUUUGACAACCAAAAUCUUUAUAUGUAUGUCAUGUCAGAAACUAAAGUGUCUAAAGUCAAGGUUUUUGACUGCUCCGAUUUCAAGACAUGUGGAGAGUGCUUGGGGGCUAGAGAUCCAUAUUGUGGCUGGUGCUCGUUGGAAAACAAAUGUAGCCCACGUUCCAACUGUCAAGAUGACGCCAACGACCCUCUUUAUUGGGUCAGCUAUAAAACUGGAAAGUGCACUACAAUAACAAGUGUUGUGCCACACCAACUGCAACGCACAACUGCUCGAACCUUAGAACUUAUCAUAGAUCACUUGCCGCAACUAAAAGAGAACUUGAUAUGUGCUUUUACCACAGAGGAUAAGGCUCUCUUCACCAAUGCUACGAAAAAAAGAAAUGGCGUGAAUUGUACAACACCGCGAACAGAUAUGCUGCCCCAAAUUGAACAAGGAAAGCAUCAUUUUACAGCAAAACUAUCUGUCCGCACCAGAAAUGGACCCGACCUAGUGUCUACGGAUUUUACGUUCUUUGAUUGCAGUACACAUUCAUCUUGUACACGGUGUGUGUCCUCGGAGUUUCCAUGUGACUGGUGUGUUGAGGCACACCGAUGCACUCACGACACUGCUGAGAAUUGCCGCAAUGAUAUUUUGGUCACCGGUGUAAGCCGGAUAGGCCCAAGUUAUAGAUCGGGUCCCGGGUUUUGCCCAACGAUCAACGCUACGGGUGAUGGAAGUGAAGUACUUGUGGCUGGUGGCACAAGCAAAUCUAUAAAAGUAAAAGUUCAUAUAAUAGGACAGUUUAUAGUUCAAACGCGAUUUGUUUGUCAAUUUAAUAUAGAGGGACGGGUAACGAGUUUAAAUGCCCAAUUGUUGGGCGACACAAUAUACUGCGAUAGCAUGGAAUUCCAGUACACUUCAAGAUCGCCCAAUUUGACAGCUACUUUCGCUGUUAUAUGGGGCGGAUCCAAGCCCCUUGAUAAUCCCCAUAACAUUCAUGUUGUUAUCUAUCGAUGUCGAGAAAUGGCCGACAGUUGUGGUAUUUGUUUAGCCCUAGCCGAAAAGUACAAUUGCGGAUGGUGUUCGUCUACUAAUACAUGCGAGGUUGAAGAACAAUGUAAUAAGAACAAAGAGGGAAAAACCGACUGGCUAAAUCGAAGUGAAAUUUGCCCCAACCCUGAGAUUCAUACUUUUGAACCUAAAACGGGGCCCUGGGAAGGAGGAACAAACAUAACAAUACGUGGAAUUAAUUUAGGCAAAAAUUAUAAUGACAUUUACUCAGGCGUGCGAAUAGCUGGCAUAAAUUGUAUGCCGUUUCAGCAAUUUUACAUCGACACAAAGCAAAUAGUUUGUACGGUGGACAGUCCUGGAGAACAGAUGUAUAGGAAUGGCAAAAUAGUCGUACAAAUAGGGGACUAUCGCGGUGAGUCCAAGGAGGACUAUGAGUUCGUUGACCCCAAAAUUCUUGAUUUUAAUCCAAAGUUUGGACCAACUUCGGGUGGAACUGAAAUACAUAUAACAGGAAAGCAUUUAAAUGCCGGUUCUCGCAUACAAGCGUCCAUAAAUGAUCAUUUGCCUUGCAAAAUCCUAAGCACAGAUUCUUCGCAAGCUAUAUGUCGAACGUCCCCAUCACCUGGUAUCAUCGAAGGUCGGCUCAAAAUGUCAUUUGAUAAUGGUCCACGUGAAUUCAAUGACUACAAUUUUAAAUAUGUUCUGGAUCCUACAGUGGAACACGUCAGUUCAGGGCCAAGUGGUCAAAUAAAAGUACCAAAAGGAAUCCCAGCUGGCGGCAUUCGAAUUUCCGUGAUUGGUACCCAAUUUACCAGUAUACAAACUCCCAACAUUUAUGUAGUAUAUAAUGGGGAGAUAUAUGCCAACCAAUGCCGAGUCCAGUCGGAUACAGAAAUGGAAUGCGCAUCUCCAGUUAUCGACGUAGACAACAAAAUUAUUGAAGCGGAGAGGCCAAUGCUUCUUGAAUACGGUUUUCUAAUGGACAAUGUUUUGCGUGUGCAAAAUUUAUCAAAAACUCAUAACAACCAUUUUGAACUUUAUCCAAAUCCCGAGUAUUUUGUAUUCGAGGAAAGAGUCAAGUACUUUAAAAGCGAGUAUUUAACUAUAAAUGGUCGGAAUUUAGAUCGCGCUUGCAAAGAGUCUGAUGUGGAAGUAAAAAUAGGAAAUGGAUAUUGCAAUAUUACUUCUCUUUCAAGACAACAGCUUACAUGUAGGCCUCCUCCUGAAGCAACGGCAACUAAAAGCAUAAAUGGACCGGAGGUUAUAGUUCGUAUUGGUACUUCGCUGGAGUAUCGUAUUGGUAUACUUAGCUAUGAAUCAUCAAACAUCAUUUUGGAUUGGGGAGAAAAUGUUAUCUUUGCUGUAAUAGCAACAAUUGUCAUUUUACUGCUCAUUUUUGUUGCUCUGCUUGUGGCGUAUAAAAAGAAAAGUUCCGAAUCGAGCCGGGUACUUAGAAACAUGCAGGAGCAGAUGGACAUAUUAGAGCUCCGUGUUGCAGCUGAAUGUAAAGAAGCAUUUGCUGAACUCCAAACAGAGAUGACUGACCUCACAGGAGAUCUUACUUCUGGAGGCAUUCCAUUUUUGGAUUAUCGAUCAUAUGCAAUGAAGAUUCUUUUUCCCAAUCAUGAAGAUCACAUUGUGCUACAAUGGGAACGACCUGAGCUUCUCCGAAAAGAAAAAGGGUUGCGUAUUUUUGGUCAACUUAUUAUGAACAAAACUUUUCUACUUCUUUUUAUUCGAACCUUAGAAUCGAAUCGAUACUUUUCUAUGCGAGAACGAGUAAACGUGGCCUCACUAAUUAUGGUCACACUACAAUCGAAAUUAGAAUACUGCACAGAUAUAUUGAAAACAUUAUUGGGAGACUUGAUUGAAAAAUGUAUAGAAGGAAAGAGUCAUCCAAAACUUUUAUUACGACGAACAGAAAGUGUGGCAGAAAAAAUGUUGAGUGCUUGGUUUACAUUCCUUCUAUACAAGUUUUUGAAAGAGUGUGCUGGAGAGCCAUUGUAUAUGCUUUUCCGCGCAGUCAAAGGACAAGUAGAUAAGGGUCCAGUUGACGCAUGCACGCACGAGGCAAGAUACUCUCUUAGUGAAGAAAAACUUAUACGACAGUCCAUUGAUUUUCGACCCAUGAACGUCUAUGCAAGCAUUAUACAGCAGCCAAUAUUUUGCAAUAAUUUGGAUAUGUUGCCCUCUCACACCGAAAACGUGUCCGUAAAAGUUUUGGACUGCGAUACAAUCGGACAAGUUAAAGAAAAAUGUUUGGAAACAAUUUAUAAAAACAUUCCAUCAAGCCAAAGACCUCGUAAGGAUGACUUAGAUUUAGAGUGGCGUACAGGUGCUACUGGUCGUGUAAUUUUGUACGACGAGGACGUUACAUCUAAAACGGAGAGCGAAUGGAAGAAACUAAACACUUUGCAGCACUAUAAUGUUCCGGACGGCGCUGGUUUAAGCUUAGUACCAAAGCAAAGUUCAAUUUAUAACUUUAGUAUAUUGUCGGAUAAAAAUGAAAAAUCUCACAAGUAUGAAACUCUUAAUAUAUCGAAAUACACCUCCUCCUCUCCGACAUUUAGCCGCGCCGGCAGCCCUCUUAAUAAUGAUAUGCAUGAUAACGGCCUAAGAUACUGGCAUCUAGUGAAACACCAUGAUAGUGAUAUGCAGAAAGAAGGGGAACGGGUUAACAAAUUGGUAUCUGAGAUUUACUUAACCAGACUAUUGGCUACUAAAGGCACGCUUCAGAAAUUCGUGGAUGAUCUCUUUGAAACAAUAUUUAGCACCGCUCAUCGUGGAUCGGCACUGCCCUUAGCAAUCAAAUACAUGUUUGACUUUCUAGACGAUCAAGCUCAGUUGCAUGGGAUAACUGAUCCAGAAGUCGUGCAUACUUGGAAGAGUAAUAGCUUACCAUUGCGGUUUUGGGUGAACUUAAUAAAAAAUCCAAAUUUCGUCUUCGACAUACAUAAGUCGAAUAUAGUGGACUCAUGCUUGUCAGUUGUUGCUCAAACAUUUAUGGACUCUUGUUCAACUUCUGAUCAUCGGUUGGGCAAGGACUCACCAAGCUCGAAACUGCUAUACGCAAAAGAUAUACCAGAGUAUCGCAAAUGGGUAGAUCGCUAUUAUAGAGACAUUCGCGAUAUGUCCCCAAUAUCAGAUCAAGACAUGAAUGCCAUGCUUGCAGAAGAAUCAAGGCUACACACAACAGAAUUUAACACAAAUUGUGCUCUACAUGAGCUAUACACAUAUGCUGUGAAGUACAAUGAGCAGCUAACUGUUACACUAGAAGAGGAUGAGUUUUCGCAAAAGCAGCGAUUGGCUUUUAAAUUAGAGCAGGUUCACAACAUAAUGUCGGCAGAAUAAGAACAAAAUACAAAAAGUGAGCUUACUUUUAAAAGCUUCUAGUUGAUAAAACCAUCAUUCAUUAAACAGGAAUGUCUUCAUAUACCAGCCACCGAAAUGUAUUUAUUUCGAAUGUAAACAUUCUUGCUUAAACCUAUGCAAUUUAUAAAAAUCAUUUGUAAAUGUCGUAUUUGCUCAUUUAAAGCUUAACAUAAAUGGUAUUGUAUGUAUGUAUGUAUUUGAUAUAAGUAAAUUUAUGUAAGAUUAAACAUUCAAGAUAAAGUAAACUAACUGAGAAAUCGACUGACUUUAAUUUUAACUAAAAAUAAAGUUAAUGAAUUAUAUUAUGUAGUUUCGUACCUAUGUUGAAGAUUAAGAGUAUUCAUGUAUUGGUUUUUUUUAUCUGCAGUUCAAGGUACUAAGUCACAUUCCUAAUAGCACGGCAAUUUUUUUCAUUUCUGCGACUAGAAUGUCACGAAAAAUGCAUGUGAAAGUCAAGAAAGCUAAAAAAUUAUAUGUGCAGUAACGAAAACGCAAUGUUGGUCUUCUCUUAUGUAAGUUCAAAUGAUAUUGUAAACUAACACAAAAUAUACACACAAACGUCUCGAAUACUAUCUUUAUUGAUCAUUGUAAAUUGCUUUGAAGUUCUUUUUGUUUUGUGAUAUUUUAACAGAAAUAAUAGAAAACAUUUACUGAUUGAUAUGUGUUUUGUUGUAAAUGAUUUCUCAAAACCGCAAAAUAUGAUCAAAGUUAAACUAAUGUUAAUCUGAGAGGGUUUAUAAAAUAGUUUGAAAAACUUUCAAAGACGAAACGCAAUACAGAAGAAUGGACAGAAUAAUUGUUUGACCCGACUAUUAGAUACCCGGGCUCUCUUUCAUUUAUCACAGUUAUAUAUAUGAAUGACGCUUGUGUGGUAUUCACUUUAUAUAUGUUAACUUUAAAGAAAUGUAAUUUAAAAUUAUAUGAUUUGAGCAUAUUUUAUUUGAACACAAACCGGUUCUCAUAAAACAAAUUGUAGCACUGUUAAUUUAACCGAUGAUAUUCCAAAACGAAAUUGAAAUUAAGGAUCGUGUUCAAAAAAGUUUCUAUAGAAAUAAAAAAAUUAAAAUGGUACGUGAUCAUAAACCUAUCAAACAACAUUUAACCCAAAUUCAAAUUUUUUGAGGUUUAUUUUAUUGAUCGUAAUUAUAUAGUUAAUUUAAUUAUUUUAUUUGAAUUUGUAAUAUUCAACAUUUUGUUUUAUGUGCAUUAUUGUUUUAUGCUUUAUAUCUAAGUAUAAUUUAUAAAGGAAAGCCUUUCUUAAUUUUUGUACAUUUCUUAUUCAUUGUACUAAUGUAUAAAACUAUCAAUAAAAAUCAAAUUGUAUUGUAACAUUUAUUUAGUUCUAACAUGAUUUCAUUAUUUUUUAAACUUUGAGAAAGUCGAUAGAUAAAAGGUAAAUAGUUGAAAUUUUUUGAUUCAACAUUUCAUCUGGUCAAUUUAUCGCUAUUAUAAAAAGUUACUUAUGAUAUUAAGGGAAUAAAAUUGUAGUACGUAAAUGUUUUAGACUAUAUAUUUCGUGUAUUUGUGUAUGUAUGUAUAAAUGAAGAUUAUGACAUUAAUGAAUGAAUAAUAAUCAUAGUUUAAUAGUGUAUGCAUUGUACAUAUAUACUGAAAUGCGCAAUAGCUAUGAAGGUUCGAGAUAAUACGAUACUAAAUUCACAAUUCACCACGACUUACAUGACUGGCAGCCGCUAAUUCAAAAAUAAAAUAAUCUGAUAUGCACAAAAAAAUCCCACCAAAUCGAUAUCCCAAUAAAGAGAUGUAUAAUCAAUUGAAAUAUAA